AGACAAACUAUGUUCAUUCCUGC
This 23-nucleotide non-coding RNA is filed under the name Mus musculus (house mouse). Lineage: Eukaryota; Metazoa; Chordata; Mammalia; Rodentia; Muridae. The record is from RNAcentral.